CCUACGGGGCGCAGCAGUGAGGAAUAUUGGUCAAUGGGAGAGAUCCUGAACCAGCCAAGCCGCGUAAGGGAAGACGGCCCUAUGGGUUGUAAACCUCUUUUGUCGGAGAACAAAACCCGGGACGUGUCCCGGACUGCGUGUAUCCGAAGAAAAAGCAUCGGCUAACUCCGUGCCAGCAGCCGCGGUAAUACGGAGGAUGCGAGCGUUAUCCGGAUUUAUUGGGUUUAAAGGGUGCGUAGGCGGGCUUUUAAGUCAGCGGUAAAAAUUCGGGGCUCAACCCCGUCCGGUCGUUGAAACUGGGGGCC
RNAcentral lists this ribosomal RNA (305 nucleotides) under uncultured bacterium. RNAcentral describes it as "bacterial SSU rRNA". It matches the Rfam family "Bacterial small subunit ribosomal RNA", at positions 338 to 641 of the family's 1533-position model. The record is from RNAcentral.